Molecule: long non-coding RNA, 292 nt
Organism: Formica exsecta
Lineage: Eukaryota; Metazoa; Arthropoda; Insecta; Hymenoptera; Formicidae
Exons: 3
Source: RefSeq, a predicted model, not a curated record
UUCGGCAGCGUAUUUACGAACAAUUCCACAGAUUCCGAAGUGUUUUCUCAACGGCAUGUCCAUCCGUUGACGCAUCGUCGACGAUGAUUACAUUCCUACGAGCUUGUUGAGCUACUAAAGACGAUAAUCUAUCGAGCGCAAUGUCCUUUUGAAAUGCUGAUUCGGAGGACUUCGUCGUCGGGUACAGGAUGCAAACCACGAUAAACGGCACCCAAUUGAAUUUGCAAGAAGCUGUCGAGCUUCAACAGGAGACCCUUUUCGAUGUCGUAAUGGAGGCCGCGGACGGCGAAAU